GUGCUCACUUCGACAGCACAUACACUAAAAUUGGAAUGAUACAGAGAACAUUAGCAUGGCCCCUGCACAAGGAUGACAUGCAAAUUCAUGAAGCAUUUCAUAUUUUU
Small nuclear RNA from Jaculus jaculus (lesser Egyptian jerboa), 107 nucleotides. The record is from RefSeq and is a predicted model, not a curated record. Lineage: Eukaryota; Metazoa; Chordata; Mammalia; Rodentia; Dipodidae.